This 429-nucleotide ribosomal RNA is filed under the name uncultured bacterium. RNAcentral's name for it is "bacterial SSU rRNA". It matches the Rfam family "Bacterial small subunit ribosomal RNA", at positions 355 to 776 of the family's 1533-position model. The record is from RNAcentral.
UAGGGAAUCUUCGGCAAUGGGGGCAACCCUGACCGAGCAACGCCGCGUGAGUGAAGAAGGUUUUCGGAUCGUAAAGCUCUGUUGUAAGAGAAGAACGUGUGUGAGAGUGGAAAGUUCACACAGUGACGGUAUCUUACCAGAAAGGGACGGCUAACUACGUGCCAGCAGCCGCGGUAAUACGUAGGUCCCGAGCGUUGUCCGGAUUUAUUGGGCGUAAAGCGAGCGCAGGCGGUUUGAUAAGUCUGAAGUUAAAGGCUGUGGCUCAACCAUAGUACGCUUUGGAAACUGUCAAACUUGAGUGCAGAAGGGGAGAGUGGAAUUCCAUGUGUAGCGGUGAAAUGCGUAGAUAUAUGGAGGAACACCGGUGGCGAAAGCGGCUCUCUGGUCUGUAACUGACGCUGAGGCUCGAAAGCGUGGGGAGCAAACAGG